This is a long non-coding RNA of Zonotrichia leucophrys gambelii, 1315 nucleotides long. RefSeq lists it as uncharacterized. The transcript is spliced from 4 exons. NCBI's taxonomy places the organism in Eukaryota, Metazoa, Chordata, Aves, Passeriformes, Passerellidae. The record is from RefSeq and is a predicted model, not a curated record.
AUUUUAGUGUAGGAGCUUUGGGAGGAGGAUUCACCUGGCUGGGCAGGGAAAGCUGGUCAGCUUGGUUAAUUAAAGAGAAAAUCCAGCCUGCAGCACAGUCCAGUGGGGUCUAAAGCACAGAGAACAAGAAGUGCAGCAACCCCAGACAUCAGGAGAUGAAAGUGCAGACCUGUGAAGGAUCCUGAGAGCAGUGCCUGCCUGACAGGCAGCACUGGAGGAUGUUUCAAGUUUGGUUUCAGAGCUGAACACCCUGGUGAGUGCAGGGCUGCGUGUGCCAGCAGAGGAUAAACCACAGCUGGGCCCUGUGGAGAGGAUUUAGCAAUGACAAAAGAAACAAAUUGCUGAGUCUGAUGGUCCUGGGCCAAAGACAAAGUCUGGUAACAAGAAACUAAAACUACUGUUGGGGAAAGCUUUACAAACAGGUUGCAGCUGUAUGCCAGGGCUUUAGGAACCCUUGACUUCCAGCCAGGCAUUUAUAAAGGAAAUUUGCUGCAUUUAGCAACCACUUCAUGGCGAAGAUACAGAUCCACGGGGUGGGGGGGUUUCAAGGUAAAAUCCUAGAAAGGAGAACUGUUCCAUAUAUGCAGAGAAUGCUGGGAGUUAAGGAUGUCUGAAAUUGAGGACAGUGUGUCCUAGCAGAAGAGUUUGCUGAAUGAAUGAUUGGUAAAUCAUUUGCUGAUGGAUGACUGAUAGCUAUGACUUGACAUGUAGGGAUGUGUAGCAAUGUGCCCCCUGUUGAUGAGGAGACUAAAUUAUUUUGUCUGCUUAAAAAGGUAAAAAGCCCAGAAGUUUCUCCCCCAAUUUGAUACAAAGACACCUCAUAGGACCUUUGGGACUUCACCUCAGACCUGGGGCUGCCCAUUGGACAGAGCCCAAGAGGUCUCACCUGGGUAAUUCUAAUUGCUUUGGGGGGGGAGUUUUACCAGGGACAAGAACCUCUUGCCCCUGGCUCAGUUUUUCUCUGUAAGAGUUUUGUUAUUUUGCCUUUUAUUAAACCUUUUUCUGUUUCCAACACUACCACAGAAGCCAUCCUGCUGAUUUUAUGCCAUUUGGGGUAGCUGGACUUUUUCAGGUGUGAUAGGGUCUCUGAGAGCUCAUAAGACCUGGCUUGAGGAGAAACCUAUCAGGGAUGUUAAAAAUAUGAAUGAAUUUUUCGUUUGAGGUGGUUCCUCUGCUCUGUGCAGACAUGACUUGCUGUUUGUGCUGUGUAUUAGAGUCUGUGUGGCUGCAGGAAGGAUCUGAUGGUCAGGUGAACACCUCCCAAGUGAACAGCAGGACAGGGAUAAUGAAGGUUAAAUGCUAUAAAUAAGGUGGC